RNAcentral lists this ribosomal RNA (253 nucleotides) under uncultured bacterium. RNAcentral describes it as "partial 16S ribosomal RNA". It matches the Rfam family "Bacterial small subunit ribosomal RNA", at positions 524 to 776 of the family's 1533-position model. The record is from RNAcentral.
UACGUAGGGGGCUAGCGUUGUCCGGAAUCAUUGGGCGUAAAGAGCGUGUAGGCGGUCCGGUAAGUCCGCUGUGAAAGUCGGGGGCUCAACCCUCGAAUGCCGGUGGAUACUGUCGGGCUAGAGUGCGGAAGAGGCGAGUGGAAUUCCUGGUGUAGCGGUGAAAUGCGCAGAUAUCAAGAGGAACACCUGAGGUGAAGACGGGUUGCUGGGCUGACACUGACGCUGAGGCGCGAAAGCUAGGGUAGCAAACGGG